UGAGAUCUCACUGGAACCUUGAGUUCCCUGAAGGGCCGUCGAAGACUACGACGUUGAUAGGUUGGGUGUGUAAGCGCUGUGAGGCGUUGAGCUAACCAAUACUAAUUGCCCGUGAGGCUUGACCAUAUAACACCCAAGCAAUU
This 143-nucleotide ribosomal RNA is filed under the name Pseudomonas sp. H9. Its description in RNAcentral is "partial 23S ribosomal RNA". The stretch from base 1 to 126 matches the Rfam family "Bacterial large subunit ribosomal RNA", at positions 2805 to 2925 of the family's 2925-position model. The record is from RNAcentral. Lineage: Bacteria; Pseudomonadati; Pseudomonadota; Gammaproteobacteria; Pseudomonadales; Pseudomonadaceae.